Molecule: small RNA, 323 nt
Filed under: Candidatus Nitrotoga sp. MKT
Lineage: Bacteria; Pseudomonadati; Pseudomonadota; Betaproteobacteria; Nitrosomonadales; Gallionellaceae
Description: Long range pseudoknot
Source: RNAcentral
ACGGAUGAUGGCGAUUACAAUAUCAAAUUGCGUAACCUGAUCCGAUUUUUAGGGGAAGGUGACAAGACCAAAAUUACGUUACGUUUUCGUGGACGUGAGAUCGCCCAUCAGAAUAUUGGCAUGCAGAUGAUGGAGCGGGUUAUGGCUGAUCUUGGAGAGCAUGGUACCGUAGAGCAGUACCCUAAAAUGGAAGGCCGUCAGAUGGUGAUGGUGCUGGCGCCGAAGAAAAAAUAAUUUAUGAGGUAAACCUCCGGCUACGUCGGAGUGAUUUUUAAUACUGCUCGGGUUAAGGGGCUGGUCAGAGCAGAUUAGUAGUAAACAGU